CAAAUACAUCUCAAUUCAAUCUUAAUUUAAUUCUAGUUAAAAUCCUAUUGAACUUCAUUCAAACUUUAGGCCAAAACUAAUUCAAUCUUAAAUCCUAAUAAAAUCCUAAAUCCUAAAUCCUAAAUCAAAUCCCAACCAAAUCCUAAACCAAAUCCUAAACCCUAAAUCAAAUCCUAACCAAAUCCUAAUCCAAAUCCUAAACCCUAAACCAAACCCUAAUUCAAACCCUAAAUCCUAAAUCAAACCUUAACCAAAUUCUAAAUCCUAAAUCAAACCUUAACUAAAUCCUAAACCAAAUCCUAAUCUAAACCCUAAACCCUAAACCAAACCCUAACCAAAUCCUAAAUCCUAAAUAAACCCUAACCAAAUCC
This 371-nucleotide long non-coding RNA is filed under the name Physcomitrium patens. Its description in RNAcentral is "long non-coding RNA (PPAT_LNC003658)". The record is from RNAcentral. Lineage: Eukaryota; Viridiplantae; Streptophyta; Bryopsida; Funariales; Funariaceae.